UUUUUUUUCCUUUCUUUCCCUGAAAGUUGGGUCAUUUCUCCAAAGUAUACACAGUAUUUAUGUACAUAAUGUCACUUUCUUACAAUGUUCUGUUGUUGAUGUUGUGGGGUCCUUUUUGAUUUAUUCUUUUCAAGAAGGAAUAGAAAUGCAACUGGAAAACACAUAAAGACACCAGAAAUAAAACUGGUAGUUGUGGAUAGGAAUCUGCACCAUAUAUUGAUGGUGAUUUUGUUUAAAUGGAGAUUUCUAAUUGCUGGCUUCUGCCAAAUUAUGCAUUAGUACUUCCUCCUCAGAGAAACCCCUCAAGGUUCCCAUUAAAUCACAGUGUGACUAAAGGCUGAUUCCUGUUUGAGACUAAAAGCCUAGAAUAUUAUUUGCCAGUAGAUGAACCAGAGCCAGAAAGUGUAUAUGCAUUGCCCAGAGCGGAAGCUCCUAAUGGAGGCUGAGAGGCCACAAGGGAGGUCUCUGCCAAGGGCAAAUGCCCAUAAUAACUACGUUUAGGAUGUGUUGCUUUGUGGCUAUGGAGAUCUUUAACACAGGAGCAUCUGCCAUAAACAAGCCUCCAAGCUUCUUACAAAAAGCAUAUUUAGCCUGGGAUGAAACACCUACUACAGCUCAUCAGAACUGAAGAAGUUUGCAAAUUUGCUUCCUGUUUGCUGUGGUUGAUGUCUACAUUGCUGAGGGUUGACUGAGUACAAACUUGAGACUUAGGUUUUUGGUUCAUCACAGCAUUGAGAGGAAGAGAUACAUGCACAGAACGUGAAGGUGAUGUCACAGGCCAGAGUCUGGAGGGAACAGACAGUUGGGCAACCAAAAGGAUACAGAAAAGGUGAACUGAGCCUAUUUGCAGGUGCCCCAGAGGAGCUAAAGAUCCAAUUGCCACAUGGAAGCCAUGGUUGGGUCUGACAUCACUGCCAGGAGGCAGGUUGGAAAGAAACCACCUGCUAAAAGUCUUUAUGGUGUAAUAAUUAUGUAUAUCUGUGCUGUCCUUGAAUGUCCAAAUGUAUCAUCGACACAGAUUUGUGAUUCCUGGAUAUUUAUGUGUUGUAAAGUGUUUUGUUGGGUUGUAUAUAUGCCAGUAUGAGGAGGCUUGUCAAACAGGAUGAUGAAUUCCAGGGCUCAUCCAUCUAAACCACCCUGUCUUGUUGGAGCAAUUCCACUAGCAUUGUGAUGGGGAAAGGACAAGAAAUUGUGGCAGGAGGGCCGGGGAUUUAGCUCAGUGGUUUCACCGCCUGCUGUGCAAGCACAAGGACUGGAGUUCGAUCUCCAGUACCAAAAAAAAAAAAGAAAGAAAGAAAUUGUGGCAGGAGUGUAGGAGAGGAUUUGCAUGGAGGUCAGGAGAGUGGCACCAGUAUCCCACAUAUUAAGAAGUAGAAGAAGUAGAAGUAUCAACAGUGUGGCACUGUUCCCUCUCAUCUGCCACUGUGUUUAAUGCUCACUCUCACUGCAUUUAAUAGCAGUGAAGAAGGGGAGGAAAUGCUCUAAUGCUGUGAAAAACACAAACUACUUUUUUUGAAGAAUAGAGGAUUCAAUCUUGUUCUGCCUUCCUUUUUUUAAAUUAUAUUUUAUAAUUUAACUGACCUGCCUAAGUAAACAUCUUCUACAUAGACCCUGUAAUCUAACCAUGCCAAGGGAUUUGCCAGCCCUCUAAAACCCCACACUCUUGAGUGUUCUUGAGUUCUGGCUGAGCAACAUCCAAGGGAGGUGCAGAAUAAGCUAGUGAGGACUUUUUAGACUUUCUUCUCUUCAAACUUAUUGAUAAUUUUCAUGUGGCUUGCUUUGCAUUUCUGCUCAUGGAAAACCCAAACCUCAAACAGUAGGUUUGAUAAGUUAGCAGAGAUGAGCAGGAAAAUCUUUGACCUCUUGUCCAGUACUUCACUUCUUGCCCAGUUCCUGUACGUUUUUCUUAAAAGAACACCAUAGUCUUUCAAUAACUCUGGAGGGGAGAGAAAGAGAGGAGAGCAUGUAUACAAAGAGUUGACAUUUCAGUGCAUGGGUUAAAAAGCCCCCAGGAGCACACAGGAUUGGAGCUGUAAUCUGGAUGGUUACCUGGUCAGUAGGACAGAAUCUCCCCCGCCUUUUUGCUUUUUGGAAACUCUUAGGUGUAUGCUGUAGUAGACAUACUGUGCUAUAGUAUGGUAGUAUUCAUCUCUCAUUUUGGUUGCUUUUCAGAUUCUAUUUAGAAUAUUUGUUUUGAAUCAUUUCUAGCUUCUCAACCUCUGUAGACUAUUUAGUCUUUUCCUGCUUUUGACCAAAAUAGCAUUUUCUCUUCUCAUUUUGGGAACUGCCAAGAGCUCUAAGGACAGCCUGAUGAUGAUAGCCUAGACUCUAAGGUCCCCUCCUGCUCAUGGCUCCAGACAGAUGCUGUCAAGUAGACCCAAAGCUUCCUGUGAGAAUCUUCUGAGGCAGGAGCUCACAGAAGUCUUCAUUUGAGGAUUUCAUCCUGAAGUAAUCUAGGCAUGUUUGAUAAAAAUGUUUUGUGGGAAUUUUUUUUUCCUAAGAAAGCAUUAUGCAAAAAGUCACUUUUAAGGGCAUUUUAAAAUUAAGCCAGUUUUUGGCUUUUUCAGAUAACUAUGUGUGGAUACUUUGUUUACAUUGUGAAUAUUAAAAUAUGCAUCAUCUUGCUGGCCACUCAGUCCUCCAGGCACCAAGGCCCUGACUGUCCUGUGAAUCCUCACACAGAGCAAUGCCAUAAUGUCAGCUCUUAUGGAUAAGUGGUAAAACCUGGAGCUGACUCCCAUCUGUGUCCUGCGCUCUCAUCUAAUAUUCUCUAUAGAAUAGUAGUCAUUUCCUCAGUGAUGCUGUGUCUUAAUAGUGAUGGUUGCAAUGGUGAAAGGCUAGUAUGGUUUUUGUUUAAUUUUGUUUUGUUUUUCUUUUUGGUGAAAUUUUAGUUAUUUCAGCACCAAUCCAACUUGAAAGCAUUGUGGAUUUUGUUUUCCCUCUCAAACUAAAAGAUCAAGGCAUGUAUUACAUAUAAGUGUAUUUGUUGCCUCAACUCACCUGACACCAUAUUAGGAAAAGACCUGCCACUGAAGCAGGAGGCUGCACACUCCUAACCUUUCUCCCAGAGCUUGGGGUCCCUUGACACAGUGGAGAGCUUUUGCAAGGUGCUUCUGUACUUUUCCAUCCUGGAAAUGGGUGACUGGGCCUGGCUUCUGCUAUGAAAAGAGAACCAGCCUCAUUUUCUCAAUGCCCCAGAGAUCUAGGACAGGAUUUCUAAACUGGAAUCAUCAUCAUCCCUUAUCAGCCUAAAGAUCCCCCAAGAGAUAACUGCUGCCACCUGUGUUCUCACAGCAAUGCUGGUGGCAGCACCUUCUGUACAUAUGCAGCAUAUGCAGAGCUGAUACUCAGGGCUUCACUCAAGGUGAUGACCUGAACUGAAAACUGGGAAAUGCUCUGAAAUAUUUCCUAAUCAAUAAGCCCACCAAGAAGUGUUUGAUUUUUAUAUUUUGUUGGAUUUUGGUUUGCUUGGCAUAGCUAAAGGUGCCUUUUUUGUUUUGUUUUCUGCUUUAUUUUGUAGGACUUGUUCUAAACAUAAAAACAAGUCCAGAAGACUCUCCCACUGACUGUUACCUUUGCCCUAGGUUACCCUCAACUUUUAUGCUCACAUUUUCUUAAAUAAAGCAGGUGCUCCCUGGAAUCUCUGGGACCUUUUUGAGGCAUUUGAAGUAGAAUAUAAAGAGUGGUCUCAUCUCCUUCCUUAAUCUUCCUGGUGGUUGGGAUGUUCCACUUGUAUCAUAGUUUUUUUAUUACUGAUGUGCUCUGCUGUUUUUAAAUGUGAACUUGUGUGCAAAUGUGCAGAUGCAAUGUUCU
This 3813-nucleotide long non-coding RNA is filed under the name Heterocephalus glaber (naked mole-rat). RNAcentral describes it as "lncRNA (ENSHGLG00100052582.1)". The record is from RNAcentral. Lineage: Eukaryota; Metazoa; Chordata; Mammalia; Rodentia; Bathyergidae.